RNAcentral lists this ribosomal RNA (253 nucleotides) under uncultured bacterium. RNAcentral's name for it is "partial 16S ribosomal RNA". It matches the Rfam family "Bacterial small subunit ribosomal RNA", at positions 524 to 776 of the family's 1533-position model. The record is from RNAcentral.
GACGAACCGUGCGAACGUUAUUCGGAAUCACUGGGCUUAAAGGGCGCGUAGGCGGCCUUCUAAGUCGAACGUGAAAUCCCCGGGCUCAACCCGGGAACUGCGUCCGAUACUGGGAGGCUUGAAUCCGGGAGAGGGAUGUGGAAUUCCAGGUGUAGCGGUGAAAUGCGUAGAUAUCUGGAGGAACACCGGUGGCGAAGGCGGCAUCCUGGACCGGUAUUGACGCUGAGGCGCGAAAGCGUGGGGAGCAAACAGG